This 268-nucleotide ribosomal RNA is filed under the name uncultured Planctomycetales bacterium. Its description in RNAcentral is "partial 16S ribosomal RNA". It matches the Rfam family "Bacterial small subunit ribosomal RNA", at positions 567 to 832 of the family's 1533-position model. The record is from RNAcentral. Lineage: Bacteria; Pseudomonadati; Planctomycetota; Planctomycetia; Planctomycetales.
AGCACGUAGGUGGGUUUGUAAGUCAGAUGUGAAAGCCUUCUGUCCAACGGAAGAAUUGCAUCUGAAACUACGAGUCUUGAGUAUAGGAGGGGAGAAUGGAACUUCUGGUGGAGCGGUGAAAUGCGUAGAUAUCAGAAGGAACGCCGGCGGCGAAAGCGAUUCUCUGGCCUAUUACUGACACUCAGUGCGCGAAAGCUAGGGGAGCAAACGGGAUUAGAUACCCCGGUAGUCCUAGCCGUAAGCGAUGGGCACUAAGUAGAGGGGUUUU